GUAGUACCACAUUUAAAGCGUGAAAAGUAGAUAAUAUUUUUUUCAAUAAGUCCUCAUCUGUGAUAGUGUCUCCACAUAAUUUUAAUAGAGAACUUACUUUAAAGAUAGCAGAAUUAUACUCACUUACGGUUUUAAAGUCUUGCAACCUUAAAUUUAUCCACUUAUACCGAGCUUUCGGUAAUACCGUAAGUUUUAGGUG
Molecule: long non-coding RNA, 199 nt
Filed under: Nicotiana benthamiana
Lineage: Eukaryota; Viridiplantae; Streptophyta; Magnoliopsida; Solanales; Solanaceae
Description: long non-coding RNA (NBEN_LNC015715)
Source: RNAcentral